RNAcentral lists this small RNA (37 nucleotides) under Arabidopsis thaliana (thale cress). RNAcentral describes it as "ATSL071370". Lineage: Eukaryota; Viridiplantae; Streptophyta; Magnoliopsida; Brassicales; Brassicaceae. The record is from RNAcentral.
AAUUGUGAGACUGGAGAGAAGACGGAGCUGUAGGGUU